UGGGGGAAUAUUGCACAAUGGGCGGAAGCCUGAUGCAGCGACGCCGCGUGGGGNAUGAAGGCCUCGGGUNGUAAACUCCUUUCGACAGGGACGAAGCUUUUGUGACGGUACCUGUAUAAGAAGCACCGGCUAACUACGUGCCAGCAGCCGCGGUAAUACGUAGGGUGCGAGCGUUGUCCGGAAUUACUGGGCGUAAAGAGCUCGUAGGUGGUUUGUCGCGUCGUCUGUGAAAUUCCGGGGCUUAACUCCGGGCGUGCAGGCGAUACGGGCUGACUUGAGUGCUGUAGGGGAGACUGGAAUUCCUGGUGUAGCGGUGAAAUGCGCAGAUAUCAGGAGGAACACCGAUGGCGAAGGCAGGUCUCUGGGCAGUAACUGACGCUGAGGAGCGAAAGCAUGGGUAGCGAACAGGAUUAGAUACCCUGGUAGUCCAUGCCGUAAACGGUGGGCGCUAGGUGUAGGGGGCUUCCACGUCUUCUGUGCCGUAGCUAACGCAUUAAGCGCCCCGCCUGGGGAGUACGGCCGCAAGGCUA
This 530-nucleotide ribosomal RNA is filed under the name uncultured bacterium. Its description in RNAcentral is "bacterial SSU rRNA". It matches the Rfam family "Bacterial small subunit ribosomal RNA", at positions 354 to 896 of the family's 1533-position model. The record is from RNAcentral.